GUCCACGCCCUAAACGAUGCUUACUCGACGUAUGAAGCCUCGUCUUUGUGCGUCCAAGGGAAACCGUUAAGUAAGCCACCUGGGGAGUACGACCGCAAGGUUGAAACUCAAAGGAAUUGACGGGGUCCGCACAAGCGGUGGAGCAUGUGGUUUAAUUCGAUGAUACGCGAGGAACCUUACCUGGGCUAGAAUGCGAGUGACAGGCCGCGAAAGCGGUCCUUCCUUCGGGACACAAAGCAAGGUGCUGCAUGGCUGUCGU
This 259-nucleotide ribosomal RNA is filed under the name uncultured bacterium. RNAcentral describes it as "partial 16S ribosomal RNA". It matches the Rfam family "Bacterial small subunit ribosomal RNA", at positions 793 to 1055 of the family's 1533-position model. The record is from RNAcentral.